RNAcentral lists this non-coding RNA (26 nucleotides) under Homo sapiens (human). Lineage: Eukaryota; Metazoa; Chordata; Mammalia; Primates; Hominidae. The record is from RNAcentral.
UGGUCGACAUAACGGAGGACUUCCUG